This 467-nucleotide ribosomal RNA is filed under the name uncultured bacterium. RNAcentral's name for it is "partial 16S ribosomal RNA". It matches the Rfam family "Bacterial small subunit ribosomal RNA", at positions 29 to 507 of the family's 1533-position model. The record is from RNAcentral.
ACGAACGCUGGCGGCGUGCUUAACACCUGCAAGUCGAACGGAAAGGCCCUGCUUUUGUGGGGUGCUCGAGUGGCGAACGGGUGAGUAACACGUGAGUAACCUGCCCUUGACUUUGGGAUAACUUCAGGAAACUGGGGCUAAUACCGGAUAGGAGCUCCUGCUGCAUGGUGGGGGUUGGAAAGUUUCGGCGGUUGGGGAUGGACUCGCGGCUUAUCAGCUUGUUGGUGGGGUAGUGGCUUACCAAGGCUUUGACGGGUAGCCGGCCUGAGAGGGUGACCGGCCACAUUGGGACUGAGAUACGGCCCAGACUCCUACGGGAGGCAGCAGUGGGGAAUAUUGCACAAUGGGCGGAAGCCUGGUGCAGCAACGCCGCGUGCGGGAUGACGGCCUUCGGGUUGUAAACCGCUUUCGCCUGUGACGAAGCGUGAGUGACGGUAAUGGGUAAAGAAGCACCGGCUAACUACGUG